Molecule: long non-coding RNA, 2395 nt
Filed under: Lynx pardinus (Iberian lynx)
Lineage: Eukaryota; Metazoa; Chordata; Mammalia; Carnivora; Felidae
Source: RNAcentral
GUGCUGAGAGCCUAGCUUGCCUUUCUGCCUGCCUGGACAUGUAGGUUCUUAUAUGCACAGGCAGGUGAACCUUCAGGUUGGGGGCUCUAAAAUAUGGCUGAACAGAAGUGUGAGUUGCCCGCCAUUUGCUGCUAGGGCCCUACUAACUGUUGUUAGAUCUCAGGGGAAUUGUCUAAGUCUCUGUUUCUUCUGGCUAUUUUUUGGAAUGGCUCUUGAUCUUGAGAGGGCAGUAUCUUCUGCACCCUCUGUGGGGACACCAUGGGAUUUUCCAUUGCCUCCAGGAAUAAUUAUUGUUUGUCCAGGCUGAAAAUGGACAACAUAUUCAAAAGAAUUUUUUUUAAGUCGCUCUGUGGUCAGAAGUUGGCCACAUUGGAGGCUGCUAUUUAGAGCCUGAUAGGAACUUUUUUUCAGGCCUUCUCCCCUAAGUGAAAAUGAAACUAUAUACCCAGAGGGAAAGAAAAAUUCUCUGAAGCUGUUUAUGGAAGGAUUUACUAAAACAUUCUCAAGACACACAGCUCAAAAUCUAAGACAUAAGAAUCUUUGAUUUCUAUCAUAGUUGAAGGUCUUCUACCUAAUAUAAAGAAGAAAAUUGAUGAUAUGGUUGGAUGUGUUCAUAAACUUACCACACUAUAGAAUGCUAUUGCAACAGGCUCAAAAGCUGCUUACUGCUAAAUAAUUUCACUAGAAAUGAAUGUUUCUAAGAAUUCUAAUCAAUAUAUGCAAUUCGAACUACUACGAGAGCUAAGGCCAAAAGAAAACACCUGUACAUGAAAAAUAUGUUUGAAAAAAGUUGAAUGUGUAUUCAGAAAAGGAAAAGUAUGAAGGAAAUGUUUUAUUUUUGUUGUUGUUAAGGUGUAAAAAAGAGAGUAACUGUGACUUAAAGUAAAAUGACUGGUCAUUCCAGAGUGAGAAGGAGGAAAAGCAAGAAUGGAUAAGAGUGUUGCAGAAAAGGAAUCUUGGGUAAGGAAUGUUAUGUGUGGUCAAGCUGGUUAAGAUAUUUUAAUUUUAAAAGAAUGUGUCUUAAUAUCAAAACUACACUGGUGCAAAAUUAGAAUCUGUUGUCUUUUUUUUUUCUGUGUUAGAAGGACAAAAUGCACCUGGGUGGCCCAGUUGGUUUAAGUGUCUGACUCCUGAUUUCAGCUCUGGGCAUGAUUUCAUGGUUCAUAGGAUAGAGCCCCACAUUGGGCUCUGUGCUGACAGUACAAAGCCUGCUUGGGUUUCUAUCUCCUCUCUCCCUCUGCCUCUCGUCCUCCUCUAUCUCUCUCCCUCUCUCUCUCUCUCUAAUAAAUAAAUAAUUUUUUUAAAAGAACAAAAUGCUCUUGGACUACUGAUCUGCUCUUGAUAAGAGAUUGUGGAAGGUGUGUGUGUGUGUGUGUGUGUGUGUGUGUGUGUGCAUGUGUUUUAACCAUUUAAAUAACCUCCCUAGAAAACCAAGAUCUUGUGUCUUAAAAUUAUUUCUUGUGCCUCACGUUAUCUUUCUCAGGUUUCUCAUUACUUAAGAAAAUCUACUCUUCUCAAUAUUAAGAGCUAAGUUUUGUCCAAAACUAUGUAACCUUCUGUAUUUGCCUUUAAAAUCUUCUAUUGCCACUUUGGUUAAAUAGUUAUUAUUACAUAACUUUGUGUGAUCCUAUUUAGUCAGAUAUUUAAAACUUUUGAUGUUUUAACAACUUCCCAAAAUCAAAUUCUAAAUGGAGUCUAUUUGACUUCAAAGUAACUUGGAGAUUUCCCAGAAGGCCCCUGAAAAAAAAAAAUCUCAAAGAAUUUGUCUCCAUCUUGUAAACGAGAAAUAUUAAACUAUUAUGGUUUACUUGGUAUGUUAAAUGCCAUGGGAAGCAUUACCAAGCAAGAAGUGAUAAUAAACCUUAUUAGGGCACAUGUGUAUGGUUAUAUGUUACUGAUAUAGGUAUUCCAGAAAUUGUGUGAAGUUUCUAAAAAUUUGUUAGUACUCUCACUGUCCAAUUAUUAUUCUAAAUUAUUGUAUGCCAUGGAAAUAACUGCAUUUCCUUAUCAAAUGAACUCUCAGCUUUAAACGUGGCAUGCAUGGAGAGAGAGAGAGAGAGAGAACCAGGGAGGGGCAGAGAGAAAGGGACAGAGAGAAUCUCAAGUGCCUGUCACGAACCGCGAGAUCAUGACCUGAGCUGAAACCAAGAGUCAGACACUUAACCGACUAAGUCACUCAGAUGCCCCUAACCACAGCCAUUUUUUAAAAAGUCCUUUUGUCAUUUGCAGCUAUUUACUCUGAAACUUUUGCAAAAAUGCUUCAUCUUCAGGAGAUUCAUGGAAAAGACUCUGAGAACAACUCUGGAAUACAGAUUUCUGAUAACUUGAAGAUCAUGGAACUGAAUGGGAGAAGAGUUUCCAGAACUAAUGGAAAAACUGGGUUCAAGAAAAUGAG